GUGCCAGCAGCCGCGGUAAUUCCAGCUCCAAUAGCGUAUACUAAUGCUGUUGCUGUUAAAAAGCUCGUAGUUCGACAAGGAAUGGUUCUGGUUCCGAGUCAGAGAGCGUAACCUGUUACCUUUUUCGAUAAGAGCCAUAUGGGACCGUUUCUGUAAUGGUGGUGACGACCGGAUGAAGAGCACUUCAUUGUGCUUGGAAUCGACUCCGCAGUCAACAUCUGCACAAGGCCGUACCGCUGUGAUACCGUGAACAAAACAGCGUGAUCAAAGCAGGUGAUACCGCUCGAAUGUUCAAGCAUGGAAUAUCAAGGAAGCGACCGUCAAGUUAAUCUUUGCUGGUUUAUGUAACCGUAUUGGGGAAUUGGACCUGAGAUUAUCGAAGGGCCCCUGUUCUUCGGAGCAGUUUUUCUCUCGAAGCUCUAGUUUAACCGGUAUUAACAGGGGUGAACGGAGCUGUAUGUAUUGGCACGCGAGAGGUGAAAAUUCUUAGACCGUGCCAAGACAAACCUAAGCGAAGGCAUUCAGCAAGUAUACCUUCACUAAUCAAGAACGAGAGUGCAGGGAUCGAAGAUGAUCAGAUACCGUCGUAGUCUGCUACUGUAAACGAUGCGAACUCGGGAUCAGCUAUUGCUUAUCUUCUGAUUACUAGGCUGGGACCAUUCUACCUUCCUAGCGCGAAAGCUUUAACUUUAUGCGUUCAGGGGGGAGUACAGUUGCAAGGCUGAAACUUAAAGGAAUUGACGGAAUGACACCACAAGGCGUGGAUGCUGCGGCUUAAUUUGACUCAACACGGGGAAUCUCACCAGGUCAGGACGCAUGUUGGAUUGACAGAAUGAAAGCUCUUUCUUAAUUAUGUGUAUGGUGGUGCAUGGCCGCUCCUGGUUGGUGGAGUGAUUUGUCUGGUUGAUUCCGUUAACGAACGAGAUCUUGACGAUUUAAUGACAGCUUGAUCGAAAUGUAGUUCAAUGCUCUUGCGCUUGCGUACUGAUGUUGGGUGAGAUCUUGUCUUGUACUUAAUCGGACGAUGCAUGUUUACAAUGCAUGGAAGUGCGAGCCAAUAGCAGGUCUGUGAUGCCCAA
This 1079-nucleotide ribosomal RNA is filed under the name uncultured eukaryote. RNAcentral describes it as "bacterial SSU rRNA". It matches the Rfam family "Eukaryotic small subunit ribosomal RNA", at positions 564 to 1474 of the family's 1831-position model. The record is from RNAcentral.